This 84-nucleotide transfer RNA is filed under the name Bifidobacterium bohemicum. Its description in RNAcentral is "tRNA_Leu_TAA". It matches the Rfam family "tRNA". Rfam says of the family: Transfer RNA (tRNA) molecules are approximately 80 nucleotides in length. Their secondary structure includes four short double-helical elements and three loops (D, anti-codon, and T loops). Further hydrogen bonds mediate the characteristic L-shaped molecular structure. tRNAs have two regions of fundamental functional importance: the anti-codon, which is responsible for specific mRNA codon recognition, and the 3' end, to which the tRNAs corresponding amino acid is attached (by aminoacyl-tRNA synthetases). tRNAs cope with the degeneracy of the genetic code in two manners: having more than one tRNA (with a specific anti-codon) for a particular amino acid; and 'wobble' base-pairing, i.e. permitting non-standard base-pairing at the 3rd anti-codon position. RNAcentral also lists the same sequence under 1 other name. The record is from RNAcentral. Lineage: Bacteria; Bacillati; Actinomycetota; Actinomycetes; Bifidobacteriales; Bifidobacteriaceae.
GCUCCCGUGGCGGAAUUGGUAGACGCAGCUGACUUAAAAUCAGCCGGCAUUGCCUUGUGGGUUCGAGUCCCACCGGGAGUACAA